Oncorhynchus tshawytscha (Chinook salmon) is the source of this 1253-nucleotide long non-coding RNA. NCBI's taxonomy places the organism in Eukaryota, Metazoa, Chordata, Actinopteri, Salmoniformes, Salmonidae. The record is from Ensembl.
UUAACACUCCACCCAUGAGGCCAUUAGGUCAUCUGACUGCAGGAAAGCGGUAGCUACACAGCGAUUUUAUUGUAAACCCAUGUAUUUUCUCAUAAAUAGGUUAAACUGGUUUUCUGAUGAUGCUUACCUUGGGUCAAUGACACUAGACUUUAACAGAUGUGAUGGUAUCCUGUAAGUCAAUCAGUAACAAAAAUGACACAAAGUCACUUGACAUUGGUGAGGUGAAUAAACCUUUCCCAAGGUUUCUUUCUCAGCACAAAGGUUCUGGUUUUGAAUUCAGGCUGCAAGGCAAGGAUCCUACCAGUGAUUAUUAAUGUAUGAUGUUGGUAGAAUGUUGAAAUUGGGAUAGUAAGGAUCCUACCAGGGAUUAUUUAUGUAUUAUGUUGGUAGAAUGUUGAAGUUGGGAUAGUAGUAAGGAUCCUACCAGGGAUUAUUUAUGUAUGAUGUUGGUAGAAUGUUGAAGUUGGGAUAGUAGUAAAAGGCCGGUGUGUAAAUGACUAAGAUUCAAGCCUCCCAUGAAUUAGGGAGCUUUGUUUCAUUAUUGUGUGUUUAUCUGUAUGUUCCUUCCUGUAGUUGGCCAUCUGGGAGGAUUCUGUAUGGAGGAAUGGUCUAAGAUCACCCCAAUGUGUUCUCCGACUCAUAAAACAUUUAAGAAAAAGUCUUAGUGCUGUUAUCCAUGCAAGGUGGAGGCAGGUAGUCUAGUGGUUAGAGUGUAGGGGCGGCAGGUAGUCUAGUGGUUAGAGCGUAGGGGUGGCAGGUAGCCUAGUGGUUAGAGUGUAGGGGCGGCAGGUAGCCUAGUGGUUAGAGUGUAGGGGCGGCAGGUAGCCUAGUGGUUAGAGUGUAGGGGCGGCAGGUAGCCUAGUGGUUAGAGUGUAGGGGCGGCAGGUAGCCUAGUGGUUAGAGCGUUGGGCCAGUAACCGAAAGGUUGCAAGAUCGAAUGCCUGAGCUGACAAGGAAAGAACCUGUCGUUCUGCCCCUGAACAAGGCAGUUAACCCACUGUUCCUAGACCAGUUAACCCCCUGUUCCUAGACCAGUUAACCCCCUGUUCCUAGACCAGUUAACCCACUGUCCUAGACCAGUUAACCCACUGUUCCUAGACCAGUUAACCCACUGUUCCUAGACCAGUUAAUCCACUGUUCCUAGACCAGUUAACCCCCUGUUCCUAGACCAGUUAACCCACUGUUCCUAGGCUGUCAUUAAAAAUAAGAAUUUGUUCUUAACUGACUUGCCUAGUUAAAUAAAUGGGGGGAAA